Long non-coding RNA from Loxodonta africana (African savanna elephant), 6019 nucleotides. RefSeq lists it as uncharacterized. NCBI's taxonomy places the organism in Eukaryota, Metazoa, Chordata, Mammalia, Proboscidea, Elephantidae. The record is from RefSeq and is a predicted model, not a curated record. The transcript is spliced from 3 exons.
AUAAAAGUAUAAUUAAAACAGCAAUUCAAAAUUCAGGAGCUCUAAACUUAAAUAGAAGGAAAUUUAUCUAAAAGUUAAAAAAUGAUUUUUUUUUGUUGUAAAACCUCUGUAUAAAUGUAACAGGCCCACAGAAGAGCUAAUCGGGUUGUUCUAAACAUUUGACUCAUUUUUUGAGAUUCAUUUGAGGAUUACUUAUUUAAAAUUCUGGCCAUUUCUCUUGAUUGCUAAUUCCUUACUGUCUAUCAGAGUUUUAGUAUUAUGCAUAUUCAGUUAAAGCUUUUAUUUACAAGCAUAACCAGACACAUCCAGGUAAAGAUGGUGAAAUGAAACUAGACCAUAAAAUCUUGUUUUUGGUGAAACAAAUAAAAAAUAGUUUAAAACAAAAAACCUAGGGCCCCCCCGCCAAAAUCACAAGUAGCAACCACACAAUUUCAUGCCAUAACUUCAAAAAGUAAAGGUUGAAAAAGAAAGAAAUCCUGGUGUAAUCCCAUCUUUCAGAUGUCAUUGAGAGAAAGAAAUUGAAUUUACCAAGUCCUGAGCUUUUUUACCAGGCAUCUCCCAGUUUGAAUAUAAUCAGACUGAAAGAAUGAAUAAGUGUACUUAAAAAAAAAAAAAACCAUUGCCAUUGAGUCGAUUUCGACUCACAGCGACCAUAUAGGACAGAGUAGAACUGCCCCAUAGGGUUUCCAGUGAGCCCUGGUGGAUUUGAACUGCUGACCUUUUGGUUAGCAGCCAUAGCUCUUAACCACUAUGUCACCAGGGUUUUUUUAAGUACCCUUACAUAACAUCAAAGAAUACACCUAUAUCCCAGAAUUUCAGCAGAAGCAGGAAAAAUUGUUAGGCCUCACCAUUUUCAAGGGUUUAAGCUAUGCUGGGGCCACAGAUCCAUGGGAUUUUGAUCCAUGCUUGUAUUGUACAAGCAUACCCUUGUACAAUACACUUGACAGAAUCUUUACAGCAUCAAGAAACCCGAGUAACCCAACAAAGCUGCACAGCUCCGGGAAGGAGAGUUCCCCUCUCUCCAAGCAAAAUAGUCUAGAUCAGAGGGGAAAAAUAAGUGUCCCAAAAGGUAGGGUACCAAGGAGAAUUCACCUAUACUGUGCGAGAGCUCCCUGUGUUAAUUAAGCAUGAGAAAAUGAAAAGAAAUAAAUGGCAACUAUACCAGUAUAUUACUGCAAAAAAAAGAAAGGUGCACACAAAAGAAAGAUAAACCCCAUCUGAAUGACAGUAAUCCAAAGAAAAGAGUAAGGACUGAGCCUAUGUAAAUAUUUGGGCUAAAGAAAUAGUACUUAUUGAGAAUUAAGAAUUCAGCAGCGCAAGUGUUCAAAGGUGAAAUGACAAAACAACAGAAUGAUAUUAAUGGGAAAUUAUAAAAACUAAAGAAACAAAUUGAGAGGAGUACACCUAGAGAGGCAACCAGGGUGUUAACCAUAGUUACUUCUGGGAAGUAGAAUAUGGGGUGAGUUUUUGUUGUUAUCCUUCCAGUUUUCUGGGUUUUGGUUUAUGAGUUUUGAGUAUGUCUUUUGUUGUUUGUUUUUUGUUAUAAUGAAUAGGGACUAUUUUAAUAAAAUAAUAGUGGCCAUCUUCAAAAUGGAGUCUGAUGGCGUAAUGGUUAAAGAGCUCGGCUGCUAAUCAAAAGGUUGGCAGUUCAUGGAAAAACAGUUUAAACAGAGAAGAAAAUAUUCUUCAGUGGUUACGAGAGGGGGAAGGGAGGAAGAGGAGUUUUCACUAAUUAGAUAGUAGAUAAGUUUUAUUUUAGGUGAAGGGAAAGACAACACAAUACAGGAGAGGUCAGCACAACUGGACUAAACCAAAAGCAAAGAGGUUUCCUGAAUAAACUGAAUGCUUCAAAGGCCAGUGUAGCAGGGGCAGGGGUUUAGGGACCAUGGUUUCAGGGGACAUCUAAGUCAGUUGGCAUAAUAAAAUCUAUUAAGAAAACAUUCUGCGUCCCACUUUGGAGAGUGGCAUCUGGGGUCUAAAACUCUAGCAGGUGGCCAUCUAAGAUGCAUCAAUUGGUCUCAACCCACCUGGAGCAAGAAAGAAUGAAGAACACCAAAGACACAAGGUAAUUAUAAGCCCAAGAGACAGAAAGGACCACAUAAACCAGAGACUUUUAUCAGCCUGAGACCAGAAGAACUAGAUGGUGCCCGGCCACAACCUGACAGGGAACACAACAGAGAACCCCUGAGGGAGCAGGAGAGCAGUGGGAUGCAGACCCCAAAUUCUCUUAAAAAGACGAGACUUAAUGGUCAGACUGAGACUAGAAGGACCCCGGUGGUCAUGGCUCCCAGACCUUCUUUUAGGCCAAGACAGGAAUCAUUUCCAAAGCCAACUCUUCAGACAGGUUUUGAACUGGAAUAUGGGAUGGAAAAUAAUACUGGUGAAGAACGAGCUUCUUGGAUCAAGUAGACACAUGAGAUUAUAUUGGCAUCUCCUGUCUGGAGGGGAGAUGAGAGAGCAGAGGGGGCCAGAAGCUGCCUGAAAGGACACGACGAAAGACGGGAGGGAAGGACUGUGCUGUCUCAUUAGGGAAAGAGCAACUAGGAGUGUAUUGCAAGGUGUAUGUAAAUUUUUGUAUGAGAGACUGACCUGAUUUGUAAAUUUUCACUUAAAGCACAAUAAAAAAUUAAAAAAAAAAAAAAGUCACUAACCAAAAAAAAAAAAAAAAAUGGCAGUUCAAAUCCACCAGCCACUCCCUGGAAACACUAUGGGGCAGUUCCACUUGUCCUAUAGGGUCGCUAUGAGCCGGAACCAACUUGAUAGCACCUAACAAGAACAACAUUCUCAAGAUAUGUCUGAGUGUGUACACUCACAGUACUUUUUCUGAUAACUUGUAAGUUUCUAAUUCUUUGGUAGCAUUUCCUGUGGUAUUUUAUAUUUGUUUAAUUUCAUGGUUUGUGAAUGGAAUAAUUCUAUUCACUGUGUUGUUACUGUAUAUGUUAGGAAUUUUAAGGAAUUACCAGCAUAUGAUUAUGAGUAAGCUGUCAACCACAGCCUUGGUUUUUCAGCAUCUGAAAAAACCCGUUGUCAUCAAGUUGAUUUCAACUCUUAACAACCACAAAGGACAGGGUAGAACUGCCCCGUGGGGUUUCCAGGGAGCGACUGGUAGAUUCAAACUGCAUGAAUUUGAAUUCAGUUUAUUAAGCUUUAUCAAUAUGCAUCAUAUAACACUUUUUGGAGGAGAUGGGAAGGGGACAGAUAAAUAAAUGAGAGGGAAUUAAAGUUCUAAAAUUCAUAGGUUUUGGAUCAACCCAGUGAGAAAUAUUUUUGAAUUGGGACUCCUACCUAUUCCUGAUUCUGACAAAGCUUAUAAGCUAUUGUGGUUAUAGCUCUCUCAAAAGUCUGAAAUAACAUGCAAGGAGGUGUUGGAAGGAGUCUUCUAAAUUACCUAAUUCAGGGGUUGGCAGUCUUUUUGUUAAAGCUGUGCAGUCUCCAUGGCAGUUACCCAGCUCUGCAGUCGUAACACGAAAGCAGCCAUGGAUGAUAUGGAAAUGAAUGACUAUGCCUGUGUUCCAGUAAAGGUUGCAUUUCAAACUAAGUGGACCAUGGGCUAUAGUCUGCUAACCCCUGAUCUAACAAAGUUAUCUAUCCAGUGUUUGAAACUUUUCAUACCUACCAUUUUUCAGUCUCUGCUUAUAUAGCCCUGGUAAUGGAAAGUGGCAUUUUUAUCUCAACUCACGUGUCAAGUUCCUCCUUACAGUGCAAGUCUGUCUCCUUUUGCUCACCCCCUCAGUUGGUUCUAUCUUAUUUUAGCCAUACGAAACACUAAUCCUACUUCUUCAGGACAGCUCUUUAGGGAGUCAAAGCUGGCUCCCAUGUGUCUUUUCUGAGUUAAAUGUCAAUGAUCCUUCCAGUUUUUAAACAUAGCAUAUUUCUUUUACUUUUCUUACAAUAUUCCACUCUGAAGAUGCUUCAGUUUGUGUGGGCUUGGUUCCCACAUUACAGUAUUGUCUCUUCAUAUGUGUGGCUGUUGAACCUUGUCUCCCUGUCCUUAUACUGCUAGUUGUUUGUCUUUUUUUAAGAGGGUGUUGUUUCUGUGUUUCUUUUGCUUCGGAUUGAAAGUGUGGCUCAUGUUUGUUUAUCCCUAUUAAACAUCAGCUUGUUAGAUGGCAGUUUCUCAAGGCAUAGGUUCUUAUUCUGUAUUUAAUGCAGUUACUAUGCCCUUCUCAAGUCUUGUAAGCACCGUUUGAUAAGCAUGUCUUACACAUACUCCCCUAAGUCCUAAUAAAAAGAUUGGCUAGUUAGGAAAACAACGCAACUGAAACUUGGUUUCAAAGCAGUCGAGUCCUGUAAUUACAUGACUUGCUUACUAGAUGGCACUAGUUGACUUAAACGUUUUUUACAGUAUCGUUUAACUGGAGCUGUUUAAGUGGUUUCUGUAGUAUAUAUUUCAUUGCCCUCUCAGCUGAUUUCGUUUUUGAUUGCCACAGAAAGAAAUUUGCUGCUGGUACUACUAAUUUGUAUUUCCUCCUAGACUAAAUACCAGGUCACAUAUUCUAGUCUGAUUAUUCUUAUAAAAUGAGCUCAGAAAAGUUGCCUGCAAUUCCUUCUCUGAGGAUUAUUGUUCUCUUAACUAAAUGUACGUAAUUUAAGUAGAGCUUUGUAUGGCACACACAAGUAAAAUAAGUUAUUUAUAAUUCCAAAUAUUUUAUUUGCAUUAUUUUUUUCCAUAUCUUUUCUUAAUGCACAAAGCUUUUCUCCCAGCUUUUCAAGUUCCUAACCAGUGGUUAUUCUGCCUCUUUUUAAAAUAUAUGUUUGGUUUAUAGUAAUUUUCCUAAGCAUCCUUAUAUGGCGAUCAUUUAUUCAGUGGCUUAAAGUAUUCAAAAUAGAAUCAAGAAUCCCUGAAGAGAGAUUUGUGAACAGGGGAAAGUCUACCCCAUAAUCAUUGUGCAAUUCCUCAGCCGUGACUUGGACCUUAAAUAUUCUUGUUUUAGACAUAGAUUCAGCAGCUUAGUUUUUAGGAAUUUAAGCCCACAAAUGGUUAGAAGAACAGAUAUGAAAUAGAUGUGGGAUAGAAUUACAUUUUUAAAAACUAUAGGAAACAGGCAUUGACCACACACACAUACAAAAUUCAUUCUGGAGCCGUUUCUUACUAAUGACCCUGAAUGUUCCUUUGUCUAAUCCUCAGCCGGUUGCAGUUGUGGCACACCAGCAUUUCAAAUGCAUGUGCGUGGUUUGGUUGUUUCCUUAACAAAGGAACAUGCCAUUUACUGCUUCCUUUUUUCUGUGGCCCCCUGGGCAGGUCUAAGAGACUAAUAGGGAGAGAAGAUAACCUCUGAAUAUGUGGGUAGAAGACCAGGCCUCCAAAAGAGACCCCUUAACUUAUAGAUCAUUUGUGUUUUAGACCAGGCAGUUUGCUGAGAUCUUUGUGAAAAUUAAAUAAGAAUGAAAGACAGGGCUGACUUGAAAGUAUUGAAAAGAGAUGGAGUAUAUAUAACAAAACUUUGAGGGCAGCCUGUCUCAGAAAUCACAAAGCUUCUGCUGCAUGUUUGUUCCCAGACGGCUGAGAAGGUGACUCAGGACUAGAGCUGCCUACCAGCGCAGGUGUUUAAUGCCAGCAAAUCUGGUUUGGAGGUGGAUGUCUUCUAGAAUAGGGGAACAGCAAACGUUUUGUAAAGGGUCAGAGAGUAAACGUUGUAGGCUUUGCAGCCCACUUAUGGUGGUCUCUGUUGCAACCUUCUUUUUGAUUUUUUCCUGUUUUUUUUUUAAAUAGCCCUUUAAAAGUAUAAAAACUGUUCUUAUCUCACAGGCUGUUGAAAAACAGGCAGUAGACUGGAUUUGCCUCAUGGGCCGUAGUUUACCAACCGUUGUUCUAGAAGAUUGCAGUCUUAAUCGUAAUUUAUGCUAACCACAGGAAUUUCCAGAAACUAUGUGUCUCCCUGAUUAUCAAGAGGAGAUACUCUUAAUUUAAAAGGAAACAGGCUCAUGUGGAACUGUUUAUCGCUAGUGAUGAGACAGACUUAGCCUUCAUUGUGGAUUGCACCUCAACAUAGAAAUCCUCACAACUGGACCAGUAAGC